CAGCAGCAGCCUGCAGCAAACACAAAGCUGUCUGGUCGUUGUUGCCUGUCAUUCAUUGCACUGCUUUGUUUGUCUCAGAGCAGAAGAGCCCCUUCUCCUGAGCCAGUGUGACCUUCUGUGAGCAGCUGAGAUCUGCUCCUCUGGGACUUCAAGCUUCAGCACAAGGUUGGCUGUUGAUAUUUGCUGCCCUGAAAUGUGUAGGAUGUCUCUGCUUUAGCCUGCGCAACUGAAGAACGAGUCUGGACUCUUCACUUUUCGGUCUUCACGUUGUUUAUUAAUUCUUAUCUAUAAAAUUUUCUCUCUGCCCAGCUGAGAUCUGCUCAGCAAGGCAGCCACCAGCACUCUGACCGCCCCCGAGGCAGUAUCAUCCUUAUAUACUACAAACUACAUAUAUCAUAUUUACUCUUAAU
Long non-coding RNA from Zonotrichia albicollis (white-throated sparrow), 410 nucleotides. RefSeq lists it as uncharacterized. NCBI's taxonomy places the organism in Eukaryota, Metazoa, Chordata, Aves, Passeriformes, Passerellidae. The record is from RefSeq and is a predicted model, not a curated record.